Molecule: signal recognition particle RNA, 97 nt
Filed under: Caldichromatium japonicum
Lineage: Bacteria; Pseudomonadati; Pseudomonadota; Gammaproteobacteria; Chromatiales; Chromatiaceae
Description: Bacterial small signal recognition particle RNA
Rfam family: Bacterial small signal recognition particle RNA
About the family: The signal recognition particle (SRP) is a universally conserved ribonucleoprotein involved in the co-translational targeting of proteins to membranes. Archaeal SRP consists of a 7S RNA and homologues of the eukaryotic SRP19 and SRP54 proteins. In most bacteria, the SRP consists of a 4.5S RNA and the Ffh protein (a homologue of the eukaryotic SRP54 protein).
Source: Rfam by way of RNAcentral
CGCCGGUCCCCUCACACUGCCGAGCCGUGAACCCGGUCAGGCCCGGAAGGGAGCAGCCGUAGCGGUGCAGGUAGGUGCCGGGGUGUGGCUGGUGCGG